CCUACGGGAGGCAGCAGUAGGGAAUCUUCCACAAUGGGCGAAAGCCUGAUGGAGCAACGCCGCGUGGGUGAAGAAGGUCUUCGGAUCGUAAAACCCUGUUGUUAGAGAAGAAAGUGCGGGAGAGUAACUGUUCACGUUUCGACGGUAUGUAACCAGACAGCCAGGGCUCACUACGUGACAGAAGCCGCGGUAAUACGUAGGAGGCAAGCGUUAUCCGGAUUUAUUGGGGGUGAAGGGAGCGCAGGCUGUCUUUUAAGUCUGAUGUGAAAGCGUUCGGUUUAACCGGAGGAGUGCAGUGGAAACUGGGAGACUUGAGUGCAGAAGAGGAGAGUGGAACU
This 338-nucleotide ribosomal RNA is filed under the name uncultured bacterium. Its description in RNAcentral is "partial 16S ribosomal RNA". It matches the Rfam family "Bacterial small subunit ribosomal RNA", at positions 338 to 668 of the family's 1533-position model. The record is from RNAcentral.